Molecule: non-coding RNA, 1798 nt
Organism: Styela clava
Lineage: Eukaryota; Metazoa; Chordata; Ascidiacea; Stolidobranchia; Styelidae
Source: RefSeq, a predicted model, not a curated record
AGUUAAUUAUUCCAAUCGAUGCGGAAAUAGUGUUAUAUUUUGACGCCGUACCGAAGUACGGCAUAGGAGGGUAGAGACCGCCGGAAAGUAUAAGUGAAUUCAGUAACACUCAGAAUUUGAGUGAUUUUUAAAUAUAAAAUCGUAGGUCUCUACCGAAGGUGGAGGCAGAUGUAAACAUGAAAAUGUGACAAAAAUGGGCAAAAAAGCAGUAAAAGGCAGGCUGUGGAUCGAGUUGAAUAUGACCUUGAUGGACACAAAGCAAGGAUAAAAUAUGAAACAGCGACUUGGAAAAUUCAGUGUUCAUAUUUAGCUGAAGUGUAGUCGGAUCCUUCGCGCUGGUGAGCAAGCAUGCAUCAUCUGCAAAUAGUUUACUCAAAAGAUUCGAGCUGUUGGAAAGGUCGUUUAUGAAACAUAAGAACGCUAAUGGGCCAACUACUGAGCCCUGAACAAUUCCGCAGUGGAUGGGUAACAUUGGGGAUCUAUGGGGACCUAUUUCAACAAAUUGAUACCGGCCUGUCAGGUAAUCGGAUAACAGUUUUCCUGCAUUACCCCUAAAACCGUAAUGUCUUAACUUGUGAAUGAGAAUGGAGUGGUCUACGGUAUCAAAAGCCUUUUUUAGAUCUAGGAAGGCACAACAAACAUACUCGCCUUUGUCUAUUUUAUCAUAUAUAAAUGAUGUCAGAUCAAGGAUAGCAUGACUGGUGGAGUGUUUGGUCUGGAAUCCAAAUUGACAUUUGUUUAUCAAACUGAAUUUAGUACAAUAGCUCAUCAUUCUGGUAUACAACAACUUUUCCAUUAUGAUGCUAAUUGAAGAUAAAAUAGAGAUUGGUCUAUAAUUUGAAGGGUUGUUUUUUUUCCCGCAUUUAAAAAUUGGUAUAACUCUAGCAAGUUUUAAUGAAGAAGGAAAUAUACCUAAAUUGAAUGACGAAUUGAAGAAAUUACUCAAAGCUGGUGAUAUGAUAUCAGCAACUAAUUUCAAAAAAUAAGAGGAAAUACCAUCCGGUCCAACCGCUUUACCCUUUUUCAGGUCCCUGAUUACACAGAGAACUUCUAAAGGUGAUGUUGACUCAAGAAAAAAAGAGUUCUGUAAAGGGACACCCAGGAAUUCAGCAUUUGAUUUGGUACUAUGUGGGAUUUCAUCUGCGAGUUUUUUCCCUAUAGAAGAGAAGAAUUUGUUGAAUUCAGUGGCCACAUAGACGGGGUCUGUCACAGUAGUACCAUUUUCCAAUUUUAAUUCUGAGACGGUGGGGACCUCUCUUGUCUUAAUUUUUAUAAUCUCAUUGAUGGUUUGCCAUGUGCGUUUGACGUCUCCUCUGUUGUUGACUAGAAUAUUGUGGUAGUACUGCUGUUUCGAUUUUCUUAGCAAGUGUGUUAAAAUAUUCUUAUAUUUUUUGAAGUAAUGACGCUGCGAUGCGUUUCCGUUCAGAAACAUUAUUCUGAACAUGGCGUUUUUGUGUUUGAUGGACUUGCGAAUUCCACUGGUUAUCCAGGGCUUGGAAUACAAUUUAUUUUCUCUGCGUGACAGAGGGCGUAAUGGUGCGUGCUUAUUUAUCAACCACUUAAAAUGGCUAAGAAAGAGGUCAAAUGAACUAUUAAAAUUUUCUUUGGAUAAUAUACCACUGGCAUAAUUUCUACACAUCAUCUCAACUUCCAAUCUGAAUGUGUCGGCAGAAAAAUUUGCCAUGUCACGCUUCAUGCGUGUUUUUGUUUGGACUUGAGCACUAGUUGUUGAUAAAGUACACAUAAUAGGAAAAUGAUCGGUGAGAUCACUAAUUAUAAUAAAUGAUGAUGAGCAUGA